RNAcentral lists this long non-coding RNA (419 nucleotides) under Oreochromis niloticus (Nile tilapia). RNAcentral's name for it is "lncRNA (ENSONIG00000034978.1)". The record is from RNAcentral. Lineage: Eukaryota; Metazoa; Chordata; Actinopteri; Cichliformes; Cichlidae.
GAAAGCAUAACACGCCUUUGUGGCACUGCAUGAAAAUUUCUUGCAGCAUAGCUUAAAGAAGACAACCAAAGGCGUGAUGAGCAGCUGUGAGGACAUCAAACAAUUCUGCCUCCUACUGAAGAAAUACUAGAGAAUUUCUUUGUGUUGAGUCCUCGCUGCCUCUUGAGGUGCUGAAUCUUAGCCUGAAGCUACAUGCUACACAGUCCAUUCAUCAAAACCAUGACCCUCUUCAGUCAGGGACAGGAUGCUAUGGACUAAUGAACUCAGUGCAAGGGGGCUGCGGAGAGGUGUGUUGACACGAAGCUAGGAGAAAGUCAAAGUCGGGACUUCCGAGAGGCUUCACUUGAGGCUUUGUUUGCAAAGUUGCCGUCCUCUGUAGACAGAUAAAGCCCUGUCCUCUGACGUCAGGCCAGCAGGAG